RNAcentral lists this long non-coding RNA (3085 nucleotides) under Carica papaya (papaya). RNAcentral's name for it is "long non-coding RNA (CPAP_LNC005535)". The record is from RNAcentral. Lineage: Eukaryota; Viridiplantae; Streptophyta; Magnoliopsida; Brassicales; Caricaceae.
UAGUUUCAAGUUUCUUUUCAAGGAAAUAAAUUUACCUACCAUCAGGAUUUUUUUAGUUAAAAUAAUGAUAAUUUAAAGAAAGAUACUAUCAAAAUUUGAUAGGAAAUUGAUGAAAAUAUAAUGGGAGACUUUGCUUGAGUGAAAAGCAAAAUUGAAGUAUUUUAAGGGAAGACUCUAAUGGAGUGACCAGAGAAAACUGAAGAAAAUAUAAGGGGAGACUCUGUCAUACUAUAGAAAGCUUAAAUUAAUUGCAUCAGACUCGAGUUAAGUGGGUGUUGUGGGUUUUCAUUGCAUAUGUAGUUUUUGAAAUGUUUUAAAAGUAUUUUCAGCAUAGUAAGUUGGUAUUGUGAUUGCAUAGACUAUUUAGUUUUCAAAGUUUUUCAAAGUAUUUUCAGUAUAGUAAGUGAAUAUUGUGAUUAAAAGGCUUAUGUAGUUUUUAAGUAUUUUUCAGUGUUUUAUACGGAUUUUCAUAUAUAAAGUGCAAGUGUUUUGUGAAAGUCCUAUUAUGUUUUUAGUGUUAUUUUGCCCAUGUAUUUUAGAUAAUGAUUUUGAUAAGUGUGCAUCACUCGUUAUUGAGGUGAGUCAUUUGAAAAGCACAUGCAUGAUGUUAGGCUUCAGUGUGCCUUUACAUAAUCAUUCCAUUUUCGGGUAGAGUGGGAAAGUGAGAAGUGUGAACCUAUACAUAACUGUUGUAUUUUUGGGUGUAUGGGGAAGUGUUAAGUGUUAAGUGUUCGCCUAGCAUGCAUGGUAGUAGGAAGAUGUGAAUGGCCCUCCAUAAAGGUGAUAAAGUGGAGCUCAUUGUAAAUAUAGCGAAGUGCAUCUGUUUUCUGAUUCUGGGACAUGUGCCUCAUUGUACAAUGUGGCACACGAUACCUGCUGAGUGAUCUGGUACAUGCGAGAGUGUACUGUAUUGUACAAUGCAGUAAUAUGUUUUCUAAAUCGUUAUUCUGGUUUUAGUUUUUGACUGUGCAUCUAUUUUCAGUGAAAGUGAAUAUAUUUUUUAGAAAAGUGUAUCAGAUGUAUAUGUUUAAUGUGUGUGAAAGCUAUAUAUAUUGCAUGUAUUAGUUGUGUUGUCAUAAUAUCUGUUUACUGGGAUAAUAUAUCUCACUCCCUUAUCAUUUUCAGAUAAUGAAGAUUUUCCUGCAGAACAAUAUGUGAUAUGAAAGAGAAAUUGAGAAGUUAGAGAUUAGGUUACUAGUUUUUUAUAUUAUAGGAAAAGAAAAAAUUUUAAAGUCUUGUAUUGUAUUGUAGCUGAUGUACAUUAUUCAAGGUAUGUAGCGCUUCUGCAUACUUUAUAUAUUAAUAAAAGUUAAUUUUUGUUAUUUAGUUAAGUAUAAAGUGUAAGUGUACUCCGAACACGUCCCAGAAGAAGUGGGGGUGGGCCGCGAUAAAGUGGUAUCAAAGCACAGUUCUAGAAGACAUCCCUUGAAUAUGAGGCUUAGGGUUACACGAAACCUAAAAAGUGUAGUGGAACUUAGAAUGAGUAUAAUAGAAUGUCGUAGGAACCCUCUCCUGACCCUAAAGCAUUCGGGAGUUAAAAAUAGUGAGAUCAAGGAGAGUGCCUACAUACGAGGUCUAGAAGAUAGGACUGAAUAGAAUCUCAAUGGACUUAUGUGUAUAGAACAACUUAGGCGAGACAUUUUAGACACUCAUGGACUUUUUAAGGAUCUAAGGAAUAAUGAAUCCAGGGAUGAGUGUUUUGAGAAGUGAAGAGGAGUCCUAUAUGAUCGAACCUUGAGAAUUAAAGGUUCCCUGACUAAAUAAAUUACCAAAUAAGACAAGUGUAUUCGUCUUUAUGGUGAGAGUUGCAAUGAAACGUGAUAUAUUGGGAGAUAAAAGAUUAUGAGUGAACAUCCUAUUGAUAGUAUAGAGGUCAGACAUUGUUAUGACUUGGAAGAAUAAAUGUUGUGGGUCCUGAGAUCAUGUGAAUAAAACAUUUAUUUUGGAGGAUAUAAGCUAUUUUUGUUUAUCAAAGAAAGACUAGCUACUAGAAAAUAAUGUUGUUACCCCAUUUACUAGAGACUAGUUCAAACUAUGAAAGUAUAUAACACUGUAAUAAGGAUUACCCUACCAUUAAAGUAGAGAAUAAGUCAAGAACCUAAGAGAAGGUAUAUUAUCACCCAUUUGAGAAUUGUAAGCAAACCAUACUCCUAAAAGUAUUUUCUCAAAUUAAGUAAAAUGAUACCCUUAAACCUUCGGGAUGAGAAUAGACAAGUAUUAUUGGAGAAAAAUAACCAAUAGUGGGAAAAAUAUCAAAAUAAGUUUCCUUACUAAGUUGAAGUAAAUGAUCAGAAAUAACUCAAGAUCCUAAAUAACUUGGCUUGUAUGUUUCUUAGAUAUCCUGAGCGGAGACAAUAAAGUGAACAAGGUAAGAUAGGGGGAGAUCACCCUAAAAAUUAAACAUUUAAUAGUCAUGUCUUCUAGGAUCACGUGAUCAUUUGAAAUCUUUGGGAGUUCAUAAUACUUAACCUUAGAGAGGUGGAAUCAAUUAUCGAGUGUAAUCGAUCUUAAUAAGACCUUUAAAGAAUCCUAAUAAGUAGCUAUAAGGAGGAAUUCCAUACAUAAAGACCUUAAAAGAACCCGAUUAAUGAUUGAGAUUUUGGGAGUCACCCCUACUGGAUAAACUUGAAGAUAACAGUACACUAUGAUACCAAGCAUAGAUAAAUUCUCAAUAAAUCCAUCUUUAUUUUUGGAAGUCAAAAAAGGAUGACCCACUUUAAAAGUAUGUGUAAGCCUUAAAAAACUAUAAGCUUGAGAAAGAGGUUUCGGAAGAAAUCAAGGAGACAUGAGGAAAACUUAACAAAAUUGGACGAGGAUUAUAGACCUUGAUAAGUUAAGGAUCCUUAUUGAUUUAACUAAGAAGAAUAAGUUGCUUCGGUACCAAGUCAAUGAGUGAGGAGAAAAGAUCUUGAUUUAGAAGAAUGCAAACAUAAAUAUGAUGUUGAGGCCACGUGAAAGCAAUUAAGCGCCAUAAAGUCUACUACAUCAUUAUGAGGAGUUCCAUUAUUGAUUAUAUAAAGGUUAAAGACUCUAUGAGCAUUUGAUCAAUUAUCAAGUUAUUAUUUAGAGACCAUCCAGACCNNNN